ACGUAGGGGGCAAGCGUUGUCCGGAAUUAUUGGGCGUAAAGAGCGUGUAGGCGGCUAGUCAAGUCCGGUGUGAAAUCUCGGGGCUCAACCCCGAAACUGCAUUGGAAACUGGCUUGCUAGAGUCCGGAAGAGGAGAUUGGAAUUCCUGGUGUAGCGGUGAAAUGCGCAGAUAUCAGGAAGAACACCCGUGGCGAAGGCGGAUCUCUGGGACGGUACUGACGCUGAGACGCGAAAGCGUGGGGAGCAAACAG
This 251-nucleotide ribosomal RNA is filed under the name uncultured prokaryote. RNAcentral's name for it is "partial 16S rRNA". It matches the Rfam family "Bacterial small subunit ribosomal RNA", at positions 525 to 775 of the family's 1533-position model. The record is from RNAcentral.